UACGUAGGGGGCGAGCGUUGUCCGGAAUGAUUGGGCGUAAAGGGCGUGUAGGCGGCUGUAUAAGUCUGGAGUGAAAGUCCCGUUUUCAAGAUGGGAAUUGCUUUGGAUACUGUACAGCUUGAGUGCAGGAGAGGUUAUCGGAAUUCCCGGUGUAGCGGUGAAAUGCGUAGAGAUCGGGAGGAACACCAGUGGCGAAGGCGGGUAACUGGACUGCAACUGACGCUGAGGCGCGAAAGUGUGGGGAG
This 245-nucleotide ribosomal RNA is filed under the name uncultured Bacillota bacterium. Its description in RNAcentral is "uncultured Firmicutes bacterium partial 16S ribosomal RNA". It matches the Rfam family "Bacterial small subunit ribosomal RNA", at positions 524 to 768 of the family's 1533-position model. Lineage: Bacteria; Bacillati; Bacillota. The record is from RNAcentral.